Long non-coding RNA from Gadus morhua (Atlantic cod), 3366 nucleotides. Lineage: Eukaryota; Metazoa; Chordata; Actinopteri; Gadiformes; Gadidae. The record is from Ensembl.
GAGAUUCAAAGAGAUGUCAAGUGUAGUAAGGAGGAUGUGGAAGAGGAGUUUAAUUUGUCCUAUUGCCUCUUGACAGGUUACGGAUCCUCAUCUCUGGGUGGAACCGGCUAUGGGCCAGGUAAGGGUUUGUGUUCUUAAUAAAUCCGUCAAAUUUUGCCAAAUCUACUAAUGCACCUGUGAAAGUAUGACCAACUCAGAUAGGAACAUCAACUUUCCGUCUUCAGCCAAACACCAACAUCGGAACACCCAUUGGUGGUUUUGGGCUGGUGACGGAUAAAUGUUCUUAUGCUUGAACAAGAUCAGUGUUGGCCAAUUUCAGCCACCAUUGUACAGUUGAUUGUUGCUGUUAAUUGGGCCCUUGUGCAAACAUCUUGAGUCAAAUUAUGAGUCAAAUUCAUUGCUUAAGAGUACAGCCAAACCUUCAUGUACCUGUGUCCGUUGGAGGUGGGGCAGGUGCUAACGCUGGGGGAGUCGGUCAUGGUCCCGGAGGAGUCGGACCAGGUGGGUACCAACCUGCAGGAACUGGCACGGGAGGUUACGGGCCCGGAGGUGCUGGACAAGGCAGAUAUGGACCAGCAGGUGGGGCUGGUGGAUUUGGCCCUGGUGGACAGGGACUAGGAACAAGAAAAGCUCCUAAAUCGGGUUACGGUUCCUCAUCCGGUGGAACAGGCUUUGGACCAGCAGGUGGUGCCAUUGGAGGUGUUCCCAGUGCAGGAACAGCAGGUGGAGUGGGAGGAGGUGCAGGAGGAUUUUUUGGUGGAGCUGGCUACAGACCAGGUGAGAGGCUCCAAACAUAUGCAAUAAGUGAACUUAUAAGCGGGGAACAGUGAUAUGUGUUCCUUUCAAAAGACUCGAUGCUAAACAUCAAGAGCAAACAACAUUAUUUGACUGUGGUUGUGAUUUGUGUUUGGUGAUCCAUGUGGGUUUUUGGAGUGUUUGUUUCUACACUCUAACACAGGGGUAUUCAACCACUGGGCCACGGACCGGUAACGGACUGCGGAGCAUUGGUCCCCGUGCCGCAGAGAUUUAGAAAUAAAGCCUACCAGAUUAUAUUUUUUGUAAUAAUUAAAAAAAUUAUAUAGUGGGACAUACGGGACCUCUGCGCCACAAAUAUUUCAAAUAUGCAUACAAGCAAUAAAAAGGUUGAGGAACCCUGCUCUAACACAGCUAUGUGUUCAGGUGGUGGAGCAGGAGGAGUAGGUGGAGCAGGAGGUGCUGGCCAGGCAGCAGGAGGAGUAGGUGGAGGCCAAGGCGUAGUACCGGGUCAGUUUGCAGUAUCAAUUGAUUGUUUCAACACUGCAUCCAUUUGUCUUAAGAGUUCCUCAAAAUCAAACAUAUAAUGGGAUGUAGUUAUGUAAUGUAAUACAUGCAUCAUUCCUAUAGGUGGCGUUGGUCCUGGAAGUGGGGGUGUGAAUCGUGGGAAUUAUCCAGGUUGGCUGUCUUUACGGACAGAGACACACACGCACACACGCGCACACACACACACACACACACACACACACACACACACACACACACACACACACACACACACACACACACACACACACACACAUAUGCACACACACACACACAUGUACAUACACAUAUGCACACACACACACACACACACGCACGCACGCCAUACGCGCGCGCACGUGCGCGCGCACACACACACACACACACAGGAAUGUAGAUAACACAAUGCCUUAAACAAUGAAUUUUUAGGUAAUUGUUGGUCUUGGCCAGAGUUCAUUCAUGUGCUCUGAUAACAGCAUUGUUGAUAUGGCACUGAGGAUGAGGAUAGGUUGUUUAUUGUUACUAAACUGAUCCUUCUCUUUCCUCUCAUUAUUCUCAAGGAUAUGCCUUGGCUGGACAAAAGAGUAAGACAACUUUCUGUGAUCUUUAGCAAACAUUCAACAACAUACAAAAAAAUAUAUAACAAAUAUAUCGAAAUACGUCUUCCCAAUCAUUGAGGUAAAUUCCCUCCCUGUAUUGUGUUUCCUCAGCCAAACAACAGAAGGCAGCCAAGUAUGCAGCCAUGCAGGCCUUCCUGGGCUCUGGGGGCUACAGAGGUAACUGUUGGUGCCUCCUCUUCGUCUAGAUAGAUCAUUCCUGCCACAUCAGACCCAUUGUGGUCAGAAAACACUUUCACACUUAUCAGAGCGAUGCAUUUUUCAACAUUGUAGAACUCUACUACAAACUAUAUCUCUGUUGUAUUAUACGUUUUCUGUGAUGCUAUGACUUUUAAAGAACUGUUCAUCUGUGGCCUGUUGACAUAUGGAGUGCCGCCAGUGAUUUGUCUUCUGGGUCCCCAGGAGCUGGAUGCCAGGGUAAAUACUGUGGCCGGAGGAGGAAGUGAGAGCUAAAGGAAGGACUUCCUCUGGACAGCGGUGCGAUGUUAUGAUGUCCGAAAGUACCUGAAGUACCAAAGAAACGACCAGUUUAAUUACAUCCACUGUUAAUUCAAGUCAAACACGUUAUUAAUUUAGUAUCUGUUGAGGGAAGUAUGCCAAAGUGUUUGACUCUAAUUAUAGUAUUUUCCUGAAUUGUUUUGAAGUUAAUUAUAUUGUUAUAAUUAGCUGAUCAUCUGUAUCAUUAAUCCAGAAGGGAAACAAUGUUGUCGAUUAAUUCCUCUAGGCAAUAUGCACUGUUUUGCGUGGCUAGCAUUGCUGUGUUAAUUGUGUUAAUCUAUAAUUGUUAAGAGAUUGCGAGAAAAAAAACUGUGUGUGUGUGUGUGUGUGUGUGUGUGUGUGUGUGUGUGUGUGUGUGUGUGUGUGUGUGUGUGUGUGUGUGUGUGUGUGUGUGUGUGUGCGCGUGUGUGUUGCUUAGACUUGUGACCAUUCUGAUCCCUAAAACCAGUCUGCUUCCAUCCAUCACUUGUUCUGUCAGACAGACCCACUGAUAAAUGCGUGUGUUGAUUCUAAUUGAGAUGUGUUUUGUUAUACUUUCCCAAAAUGUCCAAUUGCAGCCAUGAUAUGGUUCACCAUUUCACAGCAAACUCUCUAAUUUCUCUGAUUCUACAAUCUUCCCCACUGAGUGAAACAAACACAUCAUGACAAUAGCCAUUGUAGCUCAUAGGGAACAUUUGGUUGGAAACCCUUGGAGACAGAGGGCCUUUACAUUGUCUCACCGUCAACUAGGUCAUUAUGCGUUUGCUAUGAAUGCAAGCUAAGGAUUUCAUCUGCUGUAAAUUUGUUUUUAUUAAUGUUUUUUUUUCAUUUAAAAGAUGUAUUAGUGUGUUAAUGCAAUUUAACUUUAUCAAUCUAAAGAAAAGUGAGAUUUUGUUUGUUAAUUGUGUUUUAAUAUGAAUUUAUACUGAGAAAUGCCAUGAAUUUUUCUGACAUUUUAAAAAUAAAAAUGGAAAAAGAAAAGGUUUGUUCAGAC